This 139-nucleotide small nucleolar RNA is filed under the name Kryptolebias marmoratus (mangrove rivulus). Its description in RNAcentral is "Small nucleolar RNA SNORD10 (ENSKMAG00000006962.1)". It matches the Rfam family "Small nucleolar RNA SNORD10". The record is from Rfam by way of RNAcentral. Lineage: Eukaryota; Metazoa; Chordata; Actinopteri; Cyprinodontiformes; Rivulidae.
GUAUGAUGAUGAUAUCCAUGCGUGUCAACUGACUCUGGCCAUCCCUGGUGUGGUGGUGCUCAAGGCAGUGUUUUGCUGACUGAGUUUUCACAACAACAAGGACCCAGAGACGUGAUCAUACAUUCAUGGUUCUGAGCAC